CAUGCAAGUCGAGCGGUAAGGCCCUUCGGGGUACACGAGCGGCGAACGGGUGAGUAACACGUGGGUGAUCUGCCUCGCACUCUGGGAUAAGCCUGGGAAACUGGGUCUAAUACCGGAUAUGACCUUACAUCGCAUGGUGUUUGGUGGAAAGAUUUAUCGGUGCGAGAUGGGCCCGCGGCCUAUCAGCUUGUUGGUGGGGUAAUGGCCUACCAAGGCGACGACGGGUAGCCGGCCUGAGAGGGCGACCGGCCACACUGGGACUGAGACACGGCCCAGACUCCUACGGGAGGCAGCAGUGGGGAAUAUUGCACAAUGGGCGAAAGCCUGAUGCAGCGACGCCGCGUGAGGGAUGACGGCCUUCGGGUUGUAAACCUCUUUCGACAGGGACGAAGCGCAAGUGACGGUACCUGUAGAAGAAGCACCGGCCAACUACGUGCCAGCAGCCGCGGUAAUACGUAGGGUGCGAGCGUUGUCCGGAAUUACUGGGCGUAAAGAGCUUGUAGGCGGCUUGUCGCGUCGAUCGUGAAAACUUGGGGCUCAACCCCAAGCUUGCGGUCGAUACGGGCAGGCUUGAGUACUUCAGGGGAGACUGGAAUUCCUGGUGUAGCGGUGAAAUGCGCAGAUAUCA
This 628-nucleotide ribosomal RNA is filed under the name Nocardia cyriacigeorgica. RNAcentral's name for it is "bacterial SSU rRNA". It matches the Rfam family "Bacterial small subunit ribosomal RNA", at positions 54 to 699 of the family's 1533-position model. Lineage: Bacteria; Bacillati; Actinomycetota; Actinomycetes; Mycobacteriales; Nocardiaceae. The record is from RNAcentral.